This 393-nucleotide ribosomal RNA is filed under the name uncultured bacterium. RNAcentral describes it as "bacterial SSU rRNA". It matches the Rfam family "Bacterial small subunit ribosomal RNA", at positions 355 to 765 of the family's 1533-position model. The record is from RNAcentral.
UGGGGAAUCUUGCACAAUGGGGGCAACCCUGAUGCAGCGACGCCGCGUGAGCGAUGAAGCCCUUCGGGGCGUAAAGCUCUUUCGACCGGAACGAUAAUGACGGUACCGGGAGAAGAAGCUGCGGCUAACUACGUGCCAGCAGCCGCGGUAAUACGUAGGCAGCAAGCGUUGUUCGGAGUUACUGGGCGUAAAGAGUCCGUAGGCGGUUUUCUAAGUUCGGUGUGAAAUCUCCCGGCUUAACUGGGAGGGUGCGCCGAAGACUGGGAAGCUGGAGUGUGGGACAGGCAGGCGGAAUUCCUGGUGUAGCGGUGAAAUGCGUAGAUAUCAGGAGGAACACCGGCGGUGUAGACGGCUUGCUAGACCAUAACUGACGCUGAGGCACGAAAGCGUGGA